GACGAACGCUGGCGGCGUGCUUAACACAUGCAAGUCGAACGGAAAGGCCCUGCUUUUGUGGGGUGCUCGAGGGGCGAACGGGGGAGUAACACGUGAGUAACCUGCCCUUGACUUUGGGAUAACUUCAGGAAACUGGGGCUAAUACCGGAUAGGAGCUCCUGCUGCAUGGUGGGGGUUGGAAAGUUUCGGCGGUUGGGGAUGGACUCGCGGCUUAUCAGCUUGUUGGUGGGGUAGUGGCUUACCAAGGCUUUGACGGGUAGCCGGCCUGAGAGGGUGACCGGCCACAUUGGUACUGAGGUACGGCCCAGACUCCUACGGGAGGCAGCAGUGGGGAAUAUUGCACAAUGGGCGGAAGCCUGAUGCAGCAACGCCGCGUGCGGGAUGACGGCCUUCGGGUUGUAAACCGCUUUCGCCUGUGACGAAGCGUGAGUGACGGUAAUGGGUAAAGAAGCACCGGCUAACUACGUG
Molecule: ribosomal RNA, 468 nt
Filed under: uncultured bacterium
Lineage: Bacteria
Description: partial 16S ribosomal RNA
Rfam family: Bacterial small subunit ribosomal RNA
Source: RNAcentral